Long non-coding RNA from Mya arenaria, 377 nucleotides. RefSeq lists it as uncharacterized. Lineage: Eukaryota; Metazoa; Mollusca; Bivalvia; Myida; Myidae. The record is from RefSeq and is a predicted model, not a curated record. The transcript has 3 exons.
CAAUGCCCUGCUAGAAAGGAAUUGCUCCUCCUAUAUUUGAAACAGGUGUCAUAUGAACAGCACUAUAUAAGUCUAGUAUACACAUUGAAUUUCAAAUUUCGGAAAAUUCGCCUACCAAUAAGAUGAAGUGUUUACUUGCUGUUACAUUGGUUAGUCUGGCAGUUGCCUGCGCCAACGGGCUGAACCCACAGUGUCUCUCGCCACCAAAGGAGCACCUAAUCUGCAGGGAUGGUCUGAAGACUCUGAAAUGGACGUACGUCCUUCGUGACCGGAAAUGUUCCCCAAAAUGGGGCUGCUACGUCAGCGGGGCAAAAAAUGUGUUCGCAACGGAGGCCGGAUGUCGUAUUAGCUGUAAAUGAUAAAUGUAACGGAUGAUU